CUUCUCUUUCUCUUCCUCUUCCCUAUCUAACACCCCCGAUCAAGAUCAAAACGCCGUUCUCCACUAUAAUCCCAACACGGCGCUAUUUUCUUCUUUAUGCUUAGUCUCGUCAGACCGUUGCUUUUACUCAAACGGAGAGUCGAGGGUGGAGCGGGCAUGGGCGCACUGGAAUCGUAAGCCGAAGCUAAUUAAUCGUAGCUCCAUGGUAGAUAUUGAGAGCUUCUGUUCCGAAUGCUCUGUAGAAAAUAUGGAGUUGAUGCUGCUUAUACUCCGAUGUUGCAUUCCAUAAUUUUUAAUGAGACUGAAUAUCGUUCUCAUCUCAAGAAUUUACUACUUGUAAGUUCAAGGAGUUAGCACAAGCUUAUGAAGUUCUAACUUCUAAUUGACCCUGAAAAACGUGAGAUAUGAUUAGUAUGGUGAGAUAUCCUCAAGGAAGGAAUGGGUGGUGGAGGCAAAGAUCGUGACCCAUUUGAUAUUUUUCAAACUUUAUUAUAUUUAUAGAAAAUUGGAUUCACAAACUAAAUUUUACUCAAGUCAGUUCUCAUAUUCGGAAUGAAUAUGUGCAGGCAUUGGAUGAAUUACAGUAAUCAUCGUCGCCGUAGAAGAAGGAUGAUAAUGUUAGUUCAAACCUUAAUUACAUGGAAAGCGAAGACAAAAAAAUGAUGAUUAUGUUGACUUUAUAUUGAUAUUUUUUUGAUUUAACAUUGACAAAUAAAAUAUUAUUUAUUCAUGUUGUAGUCAGAGUCACCAAUGCUAAAAUUACGUGUAAUUAAUUUAUAA
Mercurialis annua (annual mercury) is the source of this 780-nucleotide long non-coding RNA. RefSeq lists it as uncharacterized. The record is from RefSeq and is a predicted model, not a curated record. The transcript has 2 exons. NCBI's taxonomy places the organism in Eukaryota, Viridiplantae, Streptophyta, Magnoliopsida, Malpighiales, Euphorbiaceae.